RNAcentral lists this ribosomal RNA (254 nucleotides) under uncultured bacterium. RNAcentral describes it as "partial 16S ribosomal RNA". It matches the Rfam family "Bacterial small subunit ribosomal RNA", at positions 524 to 776 of the family's 1533-position model. The record is from RNAcentral.
CACGUAGGGGGCGAGCGUUGUCCGGAUUUAUUGGGCGUAAAGAGCUCGUAGGCGGUUCGGCAAGUCGGGUGUGAAAUUUCGAGGCUCAACCUCGAAACGCCACUCGAUACUGCUGUGACUGGAGUCCGGUAGAGGAGUGCGGAAUUCCUGGUGUAGCGGUGAAAUGCGCAGAUAUCAGGAGGAACACCAACGGCGAAGGCGGCAUCCUGGACCAAUUCUGACGCUGAGGAGCGAAAGCCAGGGGAGCAAACGGG